GUCUACGGUCAUACCACCCUGAAGGUGCCCAAUUUUGUCUCAUCUUGGAAGACAAUCAGGGUCAGAGCUGGUUAGCACUUGGAUAGGAGAAAUAUAGCCAUUUAACACU
RNAcentral lists this ribosomal RNA (109 nucleotides) under Prolemur simus (greater bamboo lemur). Lineage: Eukaryota; Metazoa; Chordata; Mammalia; Primates; Lemuridae. The record is from RNAcentral.